AUGUGUAUGCUUAUAUGUGUGUGAGAGGGCCCUUCUCCCAAACACAAUUGGAUCUUGCUUCCUCUGCAUUUCCUAACUGCAGAAAGACCAAAAGUCUGGAGAGCAUGGGGGUUUUGCCAGAGCACAGGACUUUUUGUUAGGGAAGGAGGAAGAGCGUGUGUGUGAGUGGCUUCAUCCUUGGACAGCGGCUGGAUCUCAUUUCUUUGUUUGGCCUCUAGCCACCCUCUUGCCUGUUGCUAGCUCUAUAGAGCCAUGAUCAUCAGGACAGGAAAAGCAAGGGUGAGCCAUCAGAGUGUGGGACCUUCUGUAUAUAAGAGGAAAAGCCGAGUGGGUUAUGACUGAAGGGAGGGAAGAAAUUUUUGUUGUUUUUUUGUCCAGUGUAUCCCAAAAGCAAACUCCAGGAUUUCAGGUAAUUGUGUAAUUGGGAAAUAGAGAUUAAGAUUAAUG
Non-coding RNA from Pseudonaja textilis, 447 nucleotides. The record is from RefSeq and is a predicted model, not a curated record. Lineage: Eukaryota; Metazoa; Chordata; Lepidosauria; Squamata; Elapidae.